RNAcentral lists this transfer RNA (73 nucleotides) under Ictidomys tridecemlineatus (thirteen-lined ground squirrel). RNAcentral's name for it is "Spermophilus tridecemlineatus (thirteen-lined ground squirrel) tRNA". It matches the Rfam family "tRNA". Rfam says of the family: Transfer RNA (tRNA) molecules are approximately 80 nucleotides in length. Their secondary structure includes four short double-helical elements and three loops (D, anti-codon, and T loops). Lineage: Eukaryota; Metazoa; Chordata; Mammalia; Rodentia; Sciuridae. The record is from Rfam by way of RNAcentral.
AGGGAUAUAGCUCAGUUGGUAGAGUGUUUGCCUGGCAUGCAUAAGGCCCGGGGUUCAAUCUCCAGCAUCACAU